Molecule: transfer RNA, 69 nt
Filed under: Anomaloglossus baeobatrachus
Lineage: Eukaryota; Metazoa; Chordata; Amphibia; Anura; Aromobatidae
Description: tRNA-Ala
Rfam family: tRNA
About the family: Transfer RNA (tRNA) molecules are approximately 80 nucleotides in length.
Source: RNAcentral
GAGACUUUAUCUUAAUAAAAGUAUUUGAGUUGCAUUCAAAAGAUGGGGGUUGAUGUCCUCCAGGUCUUA